CCUACGGGUGGCAGCAGUGAGGAAUAUUGGUCAAUGGGCGAGAGCCUGAACCAGCCAAGUCGCGUGAGGGAGUACUGCCCUAUGGGUUGUAAACCUCUUUUGUCGGGGAGCAAAAGCCGGACGUGUCCGGCUGUGAGAGUACCCGAAGAAAACGCAUCGGCUAACUCCGUGCCAGCAGCCGCGGUAAUACGGAGGAUGCGAGCGUUAUCCGGAUUUAUUGGGUUUAAAGGGUGCGCAGGCGGAUUUUUAAGUCAGCGGUAAAAUCGUGGGGCUCAACCCCAUCCAGCCGUUGAAACUGGGGAUCUAGAGUGUGCGAGAGGUAUGCGGAAUGCGUGGUGUAGCGGUGAAAUGCAUAGAUAUCACGCAGAACCCCGAUUGCGAAGGCAGCAUACCGGUGCACAACUGACGCUCAGGCACGAAAGCGUGGGUAUCGAACAGGAUUAGAUACCCUAGUAGUC
This 458-nucleotide ribosomal RNA is filed under the name uncultured bacterium. Its description in RNAcentral is "partial 16S ribosomal RNA". It matches the Rfam family "Bacterial small subunit ribosomal RNA", at positions 338 to 795 of the family's 1533-position model. The record is from RNAcentral.